This 84-nucleotide small RNA is filed under the name Salmonella enterica subsp. enterica serovar Muenster. RNAcentral's name for it is "partial RtT sRNA". It matches the Rfam family "RtT RNA", at positions 1 to 82 of the family's 130-position model. Rfam says of the family: This family represents a bacterial cis-regulatory element known as RtT RNA. The exact function of RtT is unknown although it is thought that it may be involved in changing the cellular response in relation to amino acid starvation. The record is from RNAcentral. Lineage: Bacteria; Pseudomonadati; Pseudomonadota; Gammaproteobacteria; Enterobacterales; Enterobacteriaceae.
AUAUCUCUCUGUACGGGAAGGAUGAGAAGCUUCGACUAAGGUUCGAUUCGAGCGAAAGCGAGAAAGCGUUGCCAACGGCAACGA